This 550-nucleotide ribosomal RNA is filed under the name uncultured bacterium. RNAcentral describes it as "bacterial SSU rRNA". It matches the Rfam family "Bacterial small subunit ribosomal RNA", at positions 355 to 896 of the family's 1533-position model. The record is from RNAcentral.
UAGGGAAUCUUCGGCGAUGGGGGCAACCCUGACCGAGCAACGCCGCGUGAGUGAAGAAGGUUUUCGGAUCGUAAAGCUCUGUUGUAAGUCAAGAACGAGUGUGAGAGUGGAAAGUUCACACUGUGACGGUAGCUUACCAGAAAGGGACGGCUAACUACGUGCCAGCAGCCGCGGUAAUACGUAGGUCCCGAGCGUUGUCCGGAUUUAUUGGGCGUAAAGCGAGCGCAGGCGGUUUGAUAAGUCUGAAGUUAAAGGCUGUGGCUCAACCAUAGUUCGCUUUGGAAACUGUCAAACUUGAGUGCAGAAGGGGAGAGUGGAAUUCCAUGUGUAGCGGUGAAAUGCGUAGAUAUAUGGAGGAACACCGGUGGCGAAAGCGGCUCUCUGGUCUGUAACUGACGCUGAGGCUCGAAAGCGUGGGGAGCGAACAGGAUUAGAUACCCUGGUAGUCCACGCCGUAAACGAUGAGUGCUAGGUGUUGGAUCCUUUCCGGGAUUCAGUGCCGCAGCUAACGCAUUAAGCACUCCGCCUGGGGAGUACGACCGCAAGGUUG